GAUGAACGCUGGCGGCGUGCCUAAUACAUGCAAGUCGAGCGAACAGAUGAGGAGCUUGCUCCUCUGACGUUAGCGGCGGACGGGUGAGUAACACGUGGAUAACCUACCUAUAAGACUGGGAUAACUUCGGGAAACCGGAGCUAAUACCGGAUAAUAUAUUGAACCGCAUGGUUCAAUAGUGAAAGACGGUUUUGCUGUCACUUAUAGAUGGAUCCGCGCCGCAUUAGCUAGUUGGUACGGUAACGGCUUACGAAGGCAACGAUGCGUAGCCGACCUGAGAGGGUGAUCGGCCACACUGGAACUGAGACACGGUCCAGACUCCUACGGGAGGCAGCAGUAGGGAAUCUUCCGCAAUAGGCGAAAGCCUGACGGAGCAACGCCGCGUGAGUGAUGAAGGUCUUCGGAUCGUAAAACUCUGUUAUUAGGGAAGAACAAAUGUGUAAGUAACUAUGCACGUCUUGACGGUACCUAAUCAGAAAGCCCCGGCUAACUACGUG
RNAcentral lists this ribosomal RNA (497 nucleotides) under uncultured bacterium. Its description in RNAcentral is "partial 16S ribosomal RNA". It matches the Rfam family "Bacterial small subunit ribosomal RNA", at positions 28 to 507 of the family's 1533-position model. The record is from RNAcentral.